UACGUAGGGGGCGAGCGUUGUCCGGAAUUAUUGGGCGUAAAGAGCGUGUAGGCGGCUGGGUAGGUCCGUUGUGAAAACUCGAGGCUCAACCUCGAGACGCCGAUGGAAACCCCCCAGCUAGAGUCCGGAAGAGGAGAGUGGAAUUCCUGGUGUAGCGGUGAAAUGCGCAGAUAUCAGGAAGAACACCCGUGGCUAAGGCGGCUCUCUAGUACGGUACUGACGCUGAGACGCGAAAGCGUGGGGAGCGAACAGG
RNAcentral lists this ribosomal RNA (253 nucleotides) under uncultured bacterium. RNAcentral's name for it is "partial 16S ribosomal RNA". It matches the Rfam family "Bacterial small subunit ribosomal RNA", at positions 524 to 776 of the family's 1533-position model. The record is from RNAcentral.